Long non-coding RNA from Lycium ferocissimum, 4535 nucleotides. RefSeq lists it as uncharacterized. The transcript is spliced from 9 exons. The record is from RefSeq and is a predicted model, not a curated record. NCBI's taxonomy places the organism in Eukaryota, Viridiplantae, Streptophyta, Magnoliopsida, Solanales, Solanaceae.
UACAUAUAAUAUUUGCAAGAAGAAAGGAUAUUAAAUAGUCGAUUUUAGAUCUAUAAUAUGAAAAUCAAGAAAUGUUAGGCUUUCGUAAUUUUUACACCAAAGGUUGUAGCCUAGCGGUCAACAAAGUAAAUGAAAAACAUGGGAAAAUUAGGAUUGGAGUUCACAUAGACACAAAAAAUGCUAGGUAAUUUCUUCCCAUUUGAUUGAGUCUUGGUGAAGAGAGUUACCUAGUAUGUUGGCGGGAGGUAAUAGGUACACAGUGAAUAGUCCAGGUGUGCGUAAGCUUUAUCCGAACACCAGUGUGAAAAAAAAGAUCAUAAUCUCAUAACAGUUGUUAGAGUAGUCAGUGAAAAGCGCAAAAAAAACCCCAAACCUUGUUGGAGCAUUAAAUGCAAAGCACAAUUAAAGUGUGGGAUUUAGCAAAGAAGAAAAGCAAGGGGAGAAAAAAUAAAAAAUAGAAAAGUAAUGCAAGAAAAACUAUAAAUACAGGCAAUAAUUAUUUGGACAAAAGAAUGGAAAAACUAUAAUUAAGCUAUAAGUAUGAAGUUGUGUCCUUUAAGGCAGAGCCUAUUACUGAAGGUGCACACGCCUUAACCCCUUGACGCCUACACUAAAGCGCCAAUUAAGCAAAGCGAAGCGCACAAGCUGGGCUUCACCGAAUUUCAGGGCUUAAGCGCGCGUUAAGUGAGCCUUUAACAACACUAAUAGGUAUACAGUGUUAUGUUGUAGUUUUAUCUGAUAUCUGGUUAGUCGUGAUAUAUGUGUCUAAGUCUGGUAAAAACUUAUUCAUUUAGAUGUUAGAAAAUAUCUUUCUUGGAAAGAUUGACGACAAGAAGGGGCUCCUUGGAGAAACGAUAAAGGUGUUUUUGUACGACCUAUAGGUCAUGGAUUCAAGUCGAGGAAUCAGCCACUGAUGCUUGUAUCAAGGUAGGCUGGCUACAUUACAUCCCCUUGGGUGCGGUCCUUCCCCGGACGGGGGAUGCUUCAUGCACCCUACUGGGUUUCUCUUUUGACACUAAAUUCGUAGAUCUGAUUGACUAGAUUUGUUGCUAAUUUGAGAAAUGAUUAUUCACGACCAAGGAGGAAUGUUAUAUUUUAUAUAAGCCUAAUAAUGGUAUUCAAGCAUCGAUGAUAAAGUUCGCUAAGACAAUUUGGAGUCUAUUUCUCAAAAGCUUAAGUACCAUUGAUAUAAUGUCACUUCAAGCAUUGACGAUCGAGGCUGCUAAUAUGAAUUAGCAAAUGUUGCCUGUUACCUUAACCUGAUCACUCAUGCUUGAAGCCGUCAAAAUUAUAUGUUUUCUUCACUGUUGAAACUUGAAACCUAAACCCUCUAUGCCACAAGAUGGUUCCUAAAAAACUAUUUCUCCCGAUUCUCCGUGAUUGUCAAAUAUGCAACAGCCAUUUAAUAAUUGGGAGCAAGCAACAACAUCUAAUAAUUCUUCCACUCAUGAUCGAGUAUUCAUGAGUAAAGCUUGGAUUACAAAAAAGUUAAAUGCUUAAAAUGAUCAAGAAGUAACAAAAUUCAUCUGUAUUUUCUCAUGGCUAUAGCCUACAUGUACUGUAUAACAGCUAAUGAAUUAUAAGCUUUCUCAAGUUACACCUUCUUACAGUUAGGUGUGAAGCCAUCAUGGUUUAAUACAUGGAGUACAACCACAGAUGACAUGAACUACCAAGUUCCUGGAGCUCCAACAGCCGGAGAUCUUCGUAAUCACAUGGUUGAGUCACCCCGUAUUGGUCACUCUGUAGUGCCUGAGAUGCUUCUCAAAGUAGUGGAGUCUUAUCAUAGAGAAGGGUGCAUACUUAGUGAUGAGAUGUUUAGACUCUAUGCUGGUCUAAUGGACAAGAGUCCCUCAGUCAGCUUCGUCGUCAGAACUUGAUGAAGUAUCUAUGUUAAAUAGGAUAUCACCAAAGGGAAAGUCAGGGACCGGAACAGGAAAAAAUAAUGCUUUGGAAUGGUUUUCACCUUAUGACUUCUCUCUGGCAGGAAAAUGGUCAGCUUAUUCCUUGGCAUGAAAAACUGGAAGGAGAAGAGGCAAUUUAAAACCGUGUACAUGAGUGGGUGUCCUCUGUAUAACUGACUAUUUAUAUCUGUUUGCGCCAGAACACCAAGAUUGUUGGUCAAUGGUUUGACACGUUUGGCCUAGUUUAGUUUCAAACUUGUAUAUCCUCCAAUCUGUAAGUAGUGAACAUAACAAUAUAUAGCUUUCUAAAUUGUGAUAGACAGACUUGCGUUGAGGAGAUUGGUCUAUUUAUAUCUUUUUACGCCAGCACACCAAGAUCGUUGGUCAAUGGGGUUAACAGGGUUGGCCUAGUUUAGUUUGAACUUAUAUAUCCUCAAAUCUUGAAGUUGAGGAACUUGUCGAAGAAUAAUGCAGUGAACAUCGGAAUAUACAGCUUUGUUAAUUGUGAUAGACAAACUCGCUGUCGAGAGUAGUAUCAAUCGGAAACCUAGAAGCUGCAGCUACUGCUCUCCACGCAACCGGAGAGCUUGUAUUUCUAUGCAAAUGCAUUGCGUGCUGUUGCCCUUUCUUCAGCUGUAUCCACGUCUUUACUUGAGCUGUCCAUAAAGACCGGUCCUUGUGUGGAACACAUCUUCUUUGUGCUGUUGGCAGGCAUCAAGAAGCUUCUUCUCAGGGGAAAUAAAGUUGUGUCCAACAAGUAUCUAAUCAAUCAAUUAUGGCUGUCAGUUGCAUCUCUUUGAUUUGUAGCUCAUUCUACUAGAAACAAGAUUUUCACACAAGGCAAAUGUGUUGGCUGAUGCUGGGCAUGAGAAGAAGAGAGCAAGUGUGUUGGCUGAUGGCACCAUGUAACUCGACUUAUACAUUUCAAAGAAUGUUAAAUUUGAUGUCACUUCUUCUUCAGGUGUCACAAGAUGGCAUUGCUCUUGCAUUCUCUCAGCCAAAAAAAAAAAAAAUUGAUUAAGGUUUCCCUUGCAUUACUUGAACACUUGAUCUAAUAGGAAACUGUAUAAAUACAGGUUGGUUAUCUCAUGGCUUUGGCAUAGACAUUUUGCUAGAUCUUCACCCUUAUUGGCAUAGGGUUAGGACUAGAGGAAGACAUUGCAUGGAAUAUUUUAUGUGUCACAGAGUUAGGACAAGAAAAUACUAUCAUAAGGAAGAUAUUAGAUUUUGUAAAAUUAGGACCAAAUAAUUGCAUAACAUGAGACCUUUAGUCUUGGAAAAUUAGGAGCAAAGGAUGGAAUUAUAGAAGGGAUGUAAGAUAGCACAUUCUCUUAUAGUCUGUGUAGCCUAAGAAAUUAAAGAAUCAUGCAUUCAAAUUACAAUUGCCUUAGAAAAAUGAAUUUAACAAAUAAGUUCAAGUAUCACCUCAUCAUAGGAUUCUUGGGCACGCUCUGGGUGAUUAAAGGUGAAUAUAUCCUAGAAUACAUCCCACCGUGCCGGCAGAAACAAAUCCCAGAAUUAACUUGAAAUUCAGUCACAUGUUUGGAAUUUGUUCCUGCUAUCAAUUCUCCGAAGUGGCUUCUGGCGGAAGGGUCGGGUGUAUUCUAUGAUAUAUUCACUUAUCACCCGAGCAUUCCAAGAGACCUAUUAUGAGGUGUUACCUAAAAAAUUUCAAGUCAAAUUCAUUUUUUCUGAUGCAAUUAUAAUCUGAAUGCAUGAUUCAUUAAUUAUCAGGCUACAAACACUAAAGGGAAUGUACUAUCUUAUAUCCCUUUUGUUCUGAAAAGCUUUGCUCAUAACUCAGCAAGUUCAAAUGUCUCUCCUGUGAUUCUUUUGUGAUAUUAAGCAAACAUACAUGGAAAGAAGGAGGGAUGUAGCACACAACUUUGAUCUCUCCAAAUAUUUGCUGUGAUGAGUGCUUCACUCUUCGGAUUUUUUGUUCAGAAGAGUUGCCAAGAAAAUUUCUUGCAUUAAUCAUAUAGAUGAUAUCCGAGAUGAUCUUAAACUUUAGAUUGUACAAAGGAUGAAUUUGAGCCAGCGGCAUAGUAGAUUUGUACUAAUUUAUUUAGUCAAGUAUUGCUGGUUGCAUUAUCUGUUCUUUAAGGUUUCUUAUUCCUUUCGUACUGUGCUUCUGAUUGGUUUUUUCCUUUUAUUGUACCUACAGGAAAAAUUGACGCUGUCCAACAAGUAUCUAAUCAACAAUGGAACUUAACUGGAGUUGGCACAGUUUCCCCUGCCAUUGACUAUCAAUUGUCAAGUCCCAGUUUAUUAGUGUCUUAUCAAAAGGAACACUUUUCAAAUAAUGUAGUCUGUCCUCAACAGGAUAUUUAACCAAAAGUGGAAGCGCAAAAAUUGGAGCGCACAUUUUCUGCCCCUGCAAGUUUUGGUGAGUUCAACAAUGAAAUGCUUAUGCAUGCUGACUUAAGUGAAGAAGAUGCCAAACUUCUUGGCGAUACUAGCAUCAAAAUCCAAGCGAGACAAACAGUUAAUCACUUAAUCUGCAAAUGAUAGCUCCUAAAGGAACAGUUCAGCAAAUGAAAUCUUCCAAAAAAACAAAACCCGUAUGCAGGAGCCCAUGAAAAGAUUGAUGCUCCAUCAGACAUGCCAUACCAAGUAAUUCACAAUAUUUGAACA